RNAcentral lists this transfer RNA (72 nucleotides) under Trigonopterus sp. 5 AH-2016. RNAcentral describes it as "tRNA-Val". The record is from RNAcentral. Lineage: Eukaryota; Metazoa; Arthropoda; Insecta; Coleoptera; Curculionidae.
CGGGCUAAAGCUUGAAUAUAAGUAUUUUAUUUACAUUAAAAAGAUUGUUGAGUUAGAAGCAACAUAGCUUGA